CCUGGGGGGACAGCGGAGGGACAUUAC
RNAcentral lists this ribosomal RNA (27 nucleotides) under Trichoderma orientale. RNAcentral describes it as "partial 18S ribosomal RNA". Lineage: Eukaryota; Fungi; Ascomycota; Sordariomycetes; Hypocreales; Hypocreaceae. The record is from RNAcentral.